GUGGGGAAUAUUGGGCAAUGGGGGAAACCCUGACCCAGCGACGCCGCGUGAGGGAAGACGGCCUUCGGGUUGUAAACCUCUUUUGUACGGGAAGAAGGAAGUGACGGUACUGUACGAAUAAGUCCCGGCUAACUACGUGCCAGCAGCCGCGGUAAUACGUAGGGGACGAGCGUUGUCCGGAAUUACUGGGCGUAAAGGGCGCGCAGGCUGUGCUGCAAGUCAGCUGUGAAAUGUCUGGGCUUAACGCGGGCAUGCGGUUGAGACUGCAGUGCUGGAGUGCUGUAGAGGCGAGUGGAAUUCCCAGUGUAGCGGUGAAAUGCGUAGAUAUUGGGAAGAACACCGGUGGCGAAGGCGACUUGCUGGGCAGCUACUGACGCUGAGGCGCGAAAGCCAGGGGAGCAAACGGGAUUAGAAACCCGAGUAGUCC
This 427-nucleotide ribosomal RNA is filed under the name uncultured bacterium. Its description in RNAcentral is "partial 16S ribosomal RNA". It matches the Rfam family "Bacterial small subunit ribosomal RNA", at positions 354 to 796 of the family's 1533-position model. The record is from RNAcentral.